RNAcentral lists this ribosomal RNA (492 nucleotides) under uncultured bacterium. Its description in RNAcentral is "partial 16S ribosomal RNA". It matches the Rfam family "Bacterial small subunit ribosomal RNA", at positions 29 to 507 of the family's 1533-position model. The record is from RNAcentral.
AGUGAACGCUGGCGGUAGGCCUAACACAUGCAAGUCGAACGGCAGCACAGUAAGAGCUUGCUCUUACGGGUGGCGAGUGGCGGACGGGUGAGGAAUACAUCGGAAUCUACUUUUUCGUGGGGGAUAACGUAGGGAAACUUACGCUAAUACCGCAUACGACCUACGGGUGAAAGCAGGGGAUCUUCGGGCCUUGCGCGAUUGAAUGAGCCGAUGUCGGAUUAGCUAGUUGGCGGGGUAAAGGCCCACCAAGGCGACGAUCCGUAGCUGGUCUGAGAGGAUGAUCAGCCACACUGGAACUGAGACACGGUCCAGACUCCUACGGGAGGCAGCAGUGGGGAAUAUUGGACAAUGGGCGCAAGCCUGAUCCAGCCAUACCGCGUGGGUGAAGAAGGCCUUCGGGUUGUAAAGCCCUUUUGUUGGGAAAGAAAAGCAGCAGGUUGAUACCCCGCUGUUCUGACGGUACCCAAAGAAUAAGCACCGGCUAACUUCGUG